Molecule: long non-coding RNA, 495 nt
Filed under: Lathyrus oleraceus (garden pea)
Lineage: Eukaryota; Viridiplantae; Streptophyta; Magnoliopsida; Fabales; Fabaceae
Description: Pisum sativum (pea) long non-coding RNA (PSAT_LNC007112)
Source: RNAcentral
UUUAAAUUAUUUCUACAGAUUCAAUAUGUGAAACAUUACUUUAACCGCGAUGCUUACAUUCUAACCUUUAAAAGAUUUUUAGCCAGACAUGGUAACACAAACAAACACAACGGUAUUGAUCAUGAUGAAAAGUUUGUUUUAGAAUGUGAGGCGUAAAGAGCGAGUAAAGUGCGUAAAAUAAAUAAAGUAAAGCGAGUGAGAAAAAUAAAUAAAGUAAAGCGAGUGCUGAAAAUAAAUAAAGUAAAGCGAGUGCAGAAAAUAAAUAAAGUAAACCGAGUGCGGAAAAUAAAUAAAAUAAAAGCGAGUGCGAAAAAUAAAUAAAAUAAAAGUGUAGACAGAAAGUAAAUAAAAUAAAAGCGAUGCGGGAAAUAAAUAAAUAAAGUGACAAAUAAGAACCUGCUCCAAAUGGAGGGUUUUAAAUCUGGUACAAAAAUAAACCUCCGACUCCUGAAGCUGAAGACGACAGCAACUCGAACUGACCCAACUCAAUCUCAC